UCUAAAACAUAAAGCAAGAAGAGUAAGCAAACAUAAUUUUCGCAGAGAGUCAGUGGUUGGUGUGAACUGAUAAAGUUAUUUUGCCGAAGUGGUCCUUGCGCGUGCGGCUUUGAACAAAAAAGUAGGAGCUGCCGGGUUCUCCCGUUAUUGAGAUAGAGUAUGUGAUUCGUACUCGAAUGAGAUGGAACUUUUUAUGGUUCCAAUAUGAGGUGGUACCGCGGUAUUUGAUUAUUCGCCCUCUAA
Molecule: non-coding RNA, 243 nt
Filed under: unidentified
Description: Listeriaceae bacterium T-box sequence
Rfam family: T-box leader
About the family: Uncharged tRNA acts as the effector for transcription antitermination of genes in the T-box leader family.
Source: RNAcentral